This 61-nucleotide transfer RNA is filed under the name Partulina redfieldi. RNAcentral's name for it is "tRNA-Ser". The record is from RNAcentral. Lineage: Eukaryota; Metazoa; Mollusca; Gastropoda; Stylommatophora; Achatinellidae.
GGAAAUAAUUUUAUUAUGGCUGCUAACUUUAAUAAGGGGAAAAGUUUUUCUCCUAUUUUCA